CAAUGACUCAAAGUCCAGAACGCAACUGGCUGAAACGCUGUGGUGGGACCUCAGGAGUGGACUGAAGCAACGCUGUGAAGAAGAGUGGGCCAAAAUUCCUCCACAAUGAUGUGAAACACUAAUAAAGUCAUACAGAAAACUAUUGCUUCAAGUUAUUGCUGCUAAAGGUGGUUCUACAAGUUAUUGGAUCACAGGCUGUUAUUAGUUUUGCACACAAUUAGAGAUGGCACGAUACCACUUUUUUAUGUCCGAUACCGAUACCGAUAUCAUAAAUUUGGAUAUCUGCCGAUACCGAUAUGAAUCCGAUAUAGUGUUUUUUAAUCAACAAAACUGUUUUUUAAAAUAUCUUGCUGCAUUUUGCAAGUCUGCAAGUUCAUACUCAAGUUUAAAACAACAACUACACUAAAGCUAUUCUGUUAUACCUGUAUACAAAAAAAAUAUUUCAUAGUUCAGCAAUACUGAUCAAUCUAAUAAACUUAGACCUACACCAUCCUCCCUAUUCUGGUAUUUUAAAGAGUACUUAGCGUAAAUAUUAAGCAACCUAACUAAUAGGGUUCCAACUCCCAGCAACAAAAAUAAAAAAAUAAAAAAUAGGGAACCACCCCUCACGCUCCACCUCAUGAUGCUUAAUCGACGUAAUCAACCUUAAUUUGAUAAAGUGUGAAAAAAAUGCACAGAAAUCAAUUAUUUUUCAAGAAAUAUUAAAUAGAUUCAACAUCUUUCUUCAACAAAAUUGUAGACUGCACAGAUGGUACCUUCCCAAAGGAAAAAGUACUAUAGCUUACUAGGGUAUAUAUAUUAGACUUAAUAGUCACUAUAUACAGUAAUUGACUUCUAUUCAUUUUACAUAAAAUUAAAACUUUGGGUGUCAGAUAAUUAUUUAUUAAAAGCUCGACAUUUUAAAUGAGAAUAAGAAAGAAAAGUAUGUCUUUGUGCCCCCUUUUCCCUGUUCAUGCCCUAUCGGCCCCCCUGGCUAAACUUUGCUAGAUCCGCCCCUGCACAGUUACAGCCGUAAGCUACGUAGAAAAAGAUCCUGGAGUAGAAAGUAAUAUUAAAUACAUUCUAACAACAGCUGAUCAAGCUUAAACGUGCUGCUGUUGUUCAGCCGCUGGUUUCCUCUUUCUGGUGCAAAGUGGGCCAAAAGCAAACUAGAGACACGGACUCGCGACAGAAAAGCCGAUCAGCUGAUCGUUAAGCAGUUUCGUGAUUGAAGUAGCAGCAGGAGAGGCAGUCGCUCCAUAUAUCGCUUGUUAAGCUUAAGGCAGGAAUGCUUUACAAACAUUCAGAGAUGGACUUACACACUUGCUUUACUUCUC
Molecule: long non-coding RNA, 1316 nt
Organism: Astatotilapia calliptera (eastern happy)
Lineage: Eukaryota; Metazoa; Chordata; Actinopteri; Cichliformes; Cichlidae
Source: Ensembl